Molecule: long non-coding RNA, 368 nt
Filed under: Ornithorhynchus anatinus (platypus)
Lineage: Eukaryota; Metazoa; Chordata; Mammalia; Monotremata; Ornithorhynchidae
Description: lncRNA (ENSOANG00000036580.1)
Source: RNAcentral
CUUGAUUAUUUCGUAUCUACCCCAGCACUUGGUCGUGGGCUUGACAUAUAGUAAGUGCUUAACAAAUACCGUGCUUGUGAUUACUGGAUGACUCUACCUGAAUUUUCUCUUAAUGUUCUCCAUCAGAGAGAAAAUUGAUUGCUAUCAGUGUGGAACACCUCCUUCCAGAAGAUUUUUAAAAAAGGAGCAAGCAAAAUGUUCCAAAGAGGAAAGAACAAAUUAUGGAAUGGGAACAGAGAACAGCUUUCCUCACUAACCUCUGAAAACCAGGAUUCAGACAGAAGAAAGCCCAGAGAGGCAGGCAAGCAGGAGGAUCUCAUUUCUGGAAUCAUUCAGCAUGUUUCAAGGGCUUCUACUUUCAACAGGUG